CUCCUUAUCAGCAUCCCUACCAUGAAUACGAGACUCAUCUACUAAAGAAGUAGUCGGUAGCCUUUCUUCAAUUCCAAAGGACACCCCUCCAACACCCUCCCUCAGAUGAAGGUCAAGUCUCCGUUUGGCAAUUGCAUCUAACUCCCUUGUGAUUUUGUUUAUUUUUUCACCCAUCUUUUUGUUAAAGGACAUAGCUCUAGGAUCCAAAGCACCAAAAGUUGGGAUGAGCUUGCGUACCUUACUUGUGCUGGCUUGAGGGCCUUCUGUCAAACUCCUUUGCUUGGCUUCAGUAUCAAACUCAUCCACCACAUCUUCAAUGUCAUAAGCCAAAGAUUUGAGGUCAUCCAGCCAAACUUUCACUGCUUUCUCCCUGAUCUGCUUGUUCUCAGCAUCAUCCACCACUGCUUCAAUAUGGGUCAACGUCUUCCUCCAUUCUUCGAGUGUUCUGUCGACUUUUUUCCGGCGAGCGUACUCUAACAGGGGGGAGGCGAUCAACUUGUCAAUCAACACACCAAUGAAGGAAGAUCCAACAGCCUCAGCCACAAACAUGCUUUCAGAAAAUGCGAGAGAGCAAAAGAGAUAGGAGAAGGUAAAGUUUCCACAGAUUGUAAGAUCGUUGUUGUGGUGACCCUUUCAACUCACAAGAAGAUAAGGACACAAACACUCACUAUACAAAAUUAAAAAGAAAAAGAAAAUAAGAGAAGGGUCAUCUUAUUCUACAGGGAAGGGCAAUUCUAUCCUACUGUAAAGGGUUUUUGGCUUUGGCUUUGGCUUUGGCUUUGGCUAUGUAUCAUACAGAGCAGUUAAAGAGGGAUUUUGAAGGGCAAUUCAUGCGACUCUUUGACCCCUUGAAAUUAUUUUUGGAAGUGUUGAAAUAUCAAAAUCCCAUAAUUCAGAUAAAUUUAUUUUCAUCUAAAUUUCAUAUGUUUGUAGUUAUUUUAUUGCUUAAAGUGUUUAGGUAUCGGUAUUAGAUCGAAGAUCGAAGAAUGAAAGAAAAUGAUAUCAUGUUAAUUUUAUUUAGUUUUUUAUGUUUUUAUUUUGUUUUUAAAAAUUGCUGACAACAAUUUCUAUUUGUUGUCUAAAAACAGUACUUUUUAUUUACUUUUUUAUUUUUUUAUUUCACUUUGUUUUUAGAGAAUCAAUGAUUAAAUCAUAUUAGGAAUUUUAAAAAUAGUUUCUUAUUUUUAAAAACAAAAAAAUGUUUUGAAAUCACACAACUAGAUAGAUUCUAAUAGUUUUUAAAACUAUUUAAAAAAAUUUUGAUACCCUUUUAAAAGUGAUUUAAAAAAAAUAGAAAAAUGGGAAGCCUAUCUAAUAUUAGGAGGCAACCCUUGGAUUCCUGUAAAUGAAAAUUUAAUUCAACCUAUCUAAAAAAAAAUAACAAUAAGAAUUAAAAGAAGAAAUAAUUUAUGAAAGGAAAUGGAUAAAUAAUGCUAGAUUCAUGAGUGGCAAGAAUAUGAUCCACAUGUCACAAAGAUUAAUAGAAAAGGAAACUACAAAAUCUGAUUAAAAAAAAAAAAAAAAAAAGAGUGUUGAAGAGCUAUUACUAGUAUGUGAAUACUUUUUAAAGUUAAACAUGAGAUAGAACUAUAGUGGUAAAGAAAUAGAGCUAUCACUAGUCCUUCAUCAUGUUUUAAGAGUUGCAACACAUUGAAAAUAGAAUCAUCCCCUCCCCCUCCUGUCCUUUUUUUUUUUUUUUUUUUUUUUUGUUGAAUUAAUUGAUUAAAAGGAUAAAAAGAUUUCAAAUUUAUAAAUUUAACAUUUCUCAGUUUUGAACUUAAAGAGUAAUCCAUUUUAGACAUAGAUACUUUCCAAUAUUUCAAUUAUUUACAUGUGUUUUAAAAGAAAAGAUUAUUUUUACAAGAAAAAAGUGAGACAAUUUUUAUCUAAAAUAAGUAUUUUUCAGGAUGGAAAAAAGUGGAGGGUUGGUUUUACAAAUUAGGGAUGAUUUCAUCCAUUUUAAAUCGAGUAUGCUAGAAUUUUUGCAUCUCUUUAAAUCUUAUACCCACUUGGAAUAAAUAAUCUAGACCUUAAACUUAUGCUUAGUUCCUAAAAAGCACAGGAAAGAAAAAAAAAUUAUUAAGGAAAAUGAUUUUCUUAUAUUUGGAUAUAUUAUGAAAUAUAUAUAUAUAUAUAUAUCAAAUAUAAUUAAAACUGGGUAGUAAUUUAUACGUUUUCAAAUUAUUUAAUCUUUAUAUUGAAAAAUUAAAUUAAGUAAAAUGAGUUUGAAAUAGUAUAUAAAAAUAGUUUAUUGACUUCACAUCUAUUUUUUAUUUUAUUUUCUCCUACUUUUCUUCUCUAUUUUCACUCCUACAUUUUCCUUAAGGCUAUGUUUGGUUUUCUAAAAGUUUGAAAGAAAAUAGAGAGGAAAAGUAAAAAAAAAAAAAUAAAAAAAAAAUUGAAGGAAAAUAAAAAAUAGAUUUAAAGUAAAUAAAUUAUUUUUAUAUACUACUUUAAAUUUUUUAUUUAACUCUUUUAUAUAAAAAUUAAAUAAUUUAAAAAUAUACAAAUAUCUUAAUAAUUUUAAUUAUAUUUAAUUUUUUUUCUUAUUUUUAAUGAGAAAACCAAAUAUGGGAAAAUAAUUUUUUUUAGCAUUUUUUUUUAUUUCCUUAGUACUUUAUGAGAACUAAACAUAGCCUAAAUUUUCUAGCAACCCACAUGACCUAAUAUUUUGAACUUCCAAGUGAAGAUGUUUCUUGUAAAUAUCCUAUAUAUAGGUUUUAGUAAAGAUAUCUAGAUCAACUACUCACUUAAUUACUUUGGAGAUAUUUGGGAUCCCAUUUAGACAGUGUUGGUCAAUGCUCAAGACACUAUUGGAACAUUUUAUGUUUUUAUGUUUAUUUUUCUUAUAUGUGAAAGUGGAUGAUUUUUUAUUUUUUAUUUAUUUUUUGUGAUUGUAAGCAAAAAGCGAUUUGUUCACCAAUAUAAAAUUAUUUUUAGUAUCACCAAUAGUAAAAAAAGAAAGAAAAAAGUUAAAUUGGAAACUUAUAAAAUAAAGUCAAUAACAUUAUUAUUUGAAAAAAUGGUAUACAAUAAUUAAAUAAAUCAAUAAAAAGAAAAUAGAUUUUCUUGGUUUCCUCUCUACACUAGAAUGAGAAUUCUUGAACAUGAAAAUAAAUGAUUAGCAUAUGAUAUUAUAAAUGUUAUUUUGCCAUCUAUUAUUUCUUUUUGAAUUGAGAAACUCAUCAUAGUAAAGACUUUCACACAUAAUUUACUAUCUUUUUAUAUACAAAUUGACAAAUACUACCCAUAGCAAACUCACUCACUAUAAAUGAUUUGUUGAUAGUUUACCAUGACUACAUCAUUCUAGAACUCCAAACGUCCUAACCACACCUUUAAGCACAACAUAGAAACAUAUAUAUUACUAUCAUAUAAUUAUUGUUUUUGGAAGGUAAUCUCUACCAAGGUGCUAGUGGAUCUGCAUUUGCAUUGAUUCUUCCUAGUAACUCAAAGAUUGUUUUUCCAAGGAUUUUGGGAUAUUGAUAGGGCUAGUAGUGUAGAUAGAAAAUCUAUUAGCGUUUUUUGCAUUUAUCUUAGAGGCAACUUGAAACAUUGGAGCUCAAGAAAACAGAAAGUGCUAGCAUAGAAUCUAAAUAUCGAUCCUUGGCCCAAGUUGCAAGAAAGGUUACUUAGCUUUAGUCCUUAUUCAUCAAAGAGUUAGGAAUUAAAAUUGAUGAUACUCUAAAAAUGUGGUGUGAUAAUUCUAGAGUAGGUUUCUUAACUUCAAAUCUAGUGUUCCAUGUGAGAACUGAGAAUAUCGAAAUUGAUGUCUAUCUCAUACAACUAUAAAAGAGAAAUUCAUGGCAAAGGAACUAAACAUGCAAUACAUUCCAAUGGAGAAACAAAUAGCAAACAAACUAACCAAACCUUUCUUAGCUACAUGUUUUGAAAUACUUAAGGACAAGCUUACUAUGGUACAAUCCAUUUGGAAAUCAAGUAAAAAAGAUUUUUCAAUUCUAGUUUAACAAAACAAAAUAAAUCCAUAGAUACUCACCUUAUGCCAUUGUGAGAAAGAUAACUUUACAUAGAUUAUUUAUGAAAUUGCAUCACUUUAAGCAACACCUUGUCACUUUGUAUUGGUAUUGACACCUUGUAUUUACCUCUCCUUAUUAUUUAUAAUGCUUGCAAAAAUGAUGAGAAUCUUCACAAACUUAAAACUUUAAGCAAGAGCCCUUUUAUAUAAUUUCAAGUGACCUUACCCAUCAAGAGUCACACAUGAUUACUUCCUACUAGAUUAUAUUAAUCUACCUCUUCUAAUCCUAUGUAAUAUGGAAUUUUAGUGCACAAUAAUUUCGACAUUCUCACACAUUGGGCAAAUAACCACAUAGGGACUUGAAACUUUUAUGGAUUUACUAAAUGGCCAUAUAAAAAUAAUGCUAUCAGUACAUGCUAAUCUAACAAAGUUUUCAAUAUGGAUCAUGAUGGUAACAUAUCAUUAAUUUUAUCAGAUAUAAUUCAUUCUAUGCAUCACACAAUUGGUUACUCAAUUUAGAGAACCUAAAUGAGGAAGUAAUAACCUAUAAACAUCUAAUAAAUGGUCUUGACUUUUAUUUAAAAUUUUUGACAAUUCUAUUAAUCAUUAUUCCAAAAAAUGUACACGAGGGAGCAUGAAAUUUUAUUAUUGUAUGUUUAAAACAAUUCUACGACAUCCGUAAAACCCAUAGAGUAAAUAUGUUCCUUAAACUUCUUAGGCACCAAAGCUUUUGUAAAAGGAUUUAUCAUAUUGUGGACCCCGCAUUUUCGGCUCAUGCGCUUCCCACUCGAUGGUGAGCUCGAUUUUUACUUGAAAAAUUGAUUUGUUGAUUAAAAAUGACUUGGAGUCGUCACUUAUUUUUGUUUUAUAUUUAAAAGGGUAAACAAAAUAAGAAAGAAAACCCUAAGUGUGACUCCUUGUUUUGGAAAAGGUGGUCUGUGAAAAACCAGAUCGGGCUCGGGGGUCAAGUUACUUAUCGGGAAGGUACGGUACGGACCGUAGCACCCCUCUAAGUCCCUAAAGUCAGGUCUCUACUGUUAGGAUGAAGUCGUCGUGGCAAUCAAUAAGUAAGUCAAUGGAUGCCUAAGUCAAAUCAUGCACAUAUGAAAAUCGGAACAUGCAUAGAGAAUGAUCAAAACGAAAUGGUAUGCAUACCUGGGCCACGAGUCACAAUGCGCUAUCAAGAAACGAGAUUAGUACACAAUUAACGAAUACAAAUUAUAGCUUAUGCAUAUCGGAGUGCAAAAUGAAGAUCAAGCAAAAUCUAUUAAGCACAACAGUUGACAGUCAAUAGGGAUCAAACAUAGGCCCCCCCCCUACCAAAGCCCGAUUUAUUGCCUACGAACUAAUCUCACAAAUCCCGUGUUUUAGAAUUAUGAAGGAAUCAUUAUUGCUUAUGUAAAAUCAAGAAGACCAAAAGAUUAUUUAGGAACUGAAAUAGGAUUAAAACUAUUUGAGUGAAAAUUGGAUUAUUGGAGUUUAUUUGAAAAUUGGAGUACUUGGAAUUAAAUUUAAAAGAUUAGAGCUCCGGUAAUUAAAUUGAAAUUUGUUAAAGAAAAUGAGAAACGAACUUUAAGAAAUUGAACUGCAAGACCAUAGACUUUUGAAAGUUGAAUUUGUAAUAAUAAUAAUAAUAAGAUUUUGAAAGUUUGAAUUAAUGAUAGUAAUAAUAAUAAUAAUAACAAUAAGAUUUUGAAAGUUUGAAUUAAUAGUAAUAAUAAUAAGGUUUUGAAAGUGUGAAUUAAUAAUAAUAAUAAUAAUAAGAUUUUGAGAGUUUGAAUUAAUGAUAAUAAUAAUAAUAAUAGGAUUUUGAAAGUUUGAAUUAAUAAUAAUAAUAAUAAUAAGGUUUUGAAAGUUUGAAUUAAUAAUAAUAAUAAUAAUAAGAGUUUGAAAGUUUGAAUUAAUAAUAAUAAUAAUAAUAUUAUUAUUAAUAAAAUUUCGAGAGUUCUAAUUAAUGAUAAUAAUAAUAAUAAUAAUAAGAUUUCAAAAGUUUGAAUUAAUAAUAAUAAUAAUAAUAAUAAUAAUAAUAAUAAUAAUAAUAAGGUUUUGAAAGUGUGAAUUAAUAAUAAUAAUAAUAAUAAUAAUAAUAAGAUUUCGAAAGUUUGAAUUAAUAAUAAUAAUAAUAGGAUUUUGAAAGUUUGAAUUAAUAAUAAUAAUAAUAAUAAGGUUUUGAAAGUUUGAAUUAAUAAUAAUAAUAAUAAUAAUAAUAAUAAGAUUUUGAGAGUUUGAAUCAAUAAUAAUAAUAAUAAUAAUAUUAAUAAGAUUUCGAGAGUUCUAAUUAAUGAUAAUAAUAAUAAUAAUAAGAUUUCGAAAGUUUGAAUUAAUAAUAAUAAUAAUAAUAAUAAGGUUUUGAAAGUGUGAAUUAAUAAUAAUAAUAAUAAUAAUAACAAUAAUAAGAUUUGGAAAAUUGAAUUAAUAAUAAUAAUGACUAUGGUAAUAAUAAUAAUAAUAGUAAUAAUAAUAAUAAUAAUAAUAAUAGUUAAUAAUAAUAAUAAUAAUAAUAAUAGUGAUAAUAUCAUAAACCCAAGUCCAUAAGCCCAAACCCACGUCCAACAUUAAAAAAAAACUCAAUCCAUAAGCCCAAGCCCACGUCCAAUCAUUAAAAAGAGCUCUGGGCUCCAUCUCCACCCAGCCCAAACUAGCAUAAUAAUAAUAAUAAUGGGGCUUUGGGCUCCAUCUUCAGCAUAGGCUUGGGCUUGGGCUCCAAAUUCAAACUCAAGCCCAAAGCCCAAACCAAACACAAAAUUGGGCCUAGCCUUAACCCAAGCCCAAAAACCAAAACUUCAUCUUCUUCCUAGCUUCCCCCCCCCCCCACGUCCGGCUGCUACACCUUUGCCACCUCCCCGCGGCGGCAGCGGCGACGGUGCCCGAGGUCAUGGAUUCUCCAGGCUUGGUGGACAGCUCCUGGGCCUCGGUGGCGCGAGAACAACUCCUGGAGGAUCUCGCCCUUCCAGGCGAAGACGGCGGCGCUGUCGCGGGCUAUGGCAGCGGCGGCGUGGUCCUGGAGCAAUAGUGCGACGCAUUGCAUUGGGAAAUCAGUGUCACAGAAAGCAAUAGUUGGAGUGUUUCCUAGUGCAGCUUCCUUAAUAGGCUGGUGAUGGAGAGUGAUCUUGAUGGAGGGGUUGGGAAAAGGUUGGAGAGAUGGGUGAGCGUGAAGGUUAGAAAAAAGGGAUAUGGGCAGUUGAUAAAUGGGUGUGAAAGUCUAGAGAGAAAUGGGUGAUUGAAUGAUGGGUAUGAAGGUGUGGUUCAAAGGUGACGAAAUGGAGUGGGCUGGUGGGUAUUAAAGGAAAUGGCAAUGAGAUCAGCAGCAACAGGGCAUAAAAGAAAGGUCCGAAAAUCAACAACAUACAGCAUAUAAUCCAUAUUUUCCCAACCCAAAUCGACGAGCAACGUGGAGCAAACCAAAUAGGAAAUAAAUGAGAAAUAUAUCAAUCAAAAUAAGCAAGGAAUUUACCUCAAACUCACCUGCAACCACUCUCUUUUUCUCCGUUAUCUCCUUGUAAUCAGACUGUCACUCCCAGAAGAACGGGCUCCUCAAGCAACUGAAUAAACUCCCUUUGUGACUCUCAGAAGAAGAAUCCCAUCCAAAGCUGCCCCUCCUUCCCUUCCUUCAAGCUUUUUUCUCUCUUUUGUUUGUGUCUUCCUCAGCAAGCCAUCCUGCCUGUUGCUACACGUCCCAUCUGGUGACUACCCCCCAUCCUCUCUAGCUGCCCGAGAGCAGCCCACUUGAGAAACAACAAAAAAUAAUAAUAAUAAAAAGCUCAAGCUCCUGGGGGUCUACACAUAUCUAUACCAAUGUGUUUGAUGGACAUCUUUUGAAACUAGACUCUUUCUCUAACCACAUGGUGCUUCAACUCAAUAUGUUUUGACUUAGUAGAGAAUUUUCUUGUAGAAAAGAAAACUAUUGUAGAAUUAUCACAAGAUAUAUUAAUUGGCUUAGAGAUUCCAUAAAUUUGAGUCCUAAAGUUGAGUUUCAUAGCUAAAUAACUAGUGAGGUGGCUUAAUGGCUUGCAAUAAAUUCAAUUGCCAUUGUGGAAGAAGCAUUGAUAGUAUUGGUUUUAACUUUUUUCUAUUAUGCAAUUUAAUUAGAAAAUGAAAAAUUGAUUGAUUAGAUUAUAUACAAAUAUGCUAGACUUGUCAAUGAAACCUCUUAUUUCCAAAUCAAAAGAAUUUCAUCAUUGGAAAUUAAAAGAAAUACAAAGGCUAGCAUGGUAGUUAGUUUAUCUCCAUAGGGACUUAUAUCAAGAGAACAAAUUAUUAAUGAUAAUCAUAUGAGCUUAAACUAGAUCAUUUUUACAAAAGAAUAAAGAGUGAAAGAAUUAAGAUAACAUGAAAACAAAUUGAUCAAUCAUAACAUCUGCACAUGGAAUAAUAAUAUUAUACAUAAAUCUAUUUGAUAUAAAACAUUGAUAUGUAGAAAAGUCUUAUCAUGAAACGACUUAUCAUUCUUAAUGCACUUAAGAUAGGAUUUCCUAUUUCUUAGUUUAAAUUUGUAAUUAUCUUUUAGAAAAUUAAGAAUCUCACACUUCUAUGAUCAAAUCCAUUCCUAUUCCGAUUCCUAAAACCUCUUUUAAUAGAAAUAGUAGAAAACAAUAGAUGAAUGCAAGGCAUCACAUCCAAUAGAUUCUUCAGCAUGGAAUGAAUAAGUUUUACAAUAAAAAAUAAGAAGGAUUCAAGUUUAAGAUAAAAAAAUAAAAUUAUAAAAAAAAAUUGCAAUUAAAAACAUUACAAAGAAAUGCAUCCUUUCAUUCUUCAAUGCUGCAUCUUGAAAGCUUCUCCAAAGAUCAAUAGGUUUUUAACUCUCCAAAGCAAGACUCACAAACGAAGAAAAUCUCUUAAGGAAAUCAUAAACGAACUCUCUAAUAUCUAAAACUUUAUCUCUCUCCAUGUAACUUCUCUAACUCCCUUCAAAUGACUAGAUAGCAAGCUAUUUAUAAGCAAUUGAUUAGUCUCUAGUCCAAUCACAACUUGCCACGUACUCAAUAUUAAUCAUAAGAAAAUCUAACAACUAAAUCUUCAAUUUUGAUCCCUAUGAUUACAGUUCAUGAAUGGGUAUUGAUACUUCCUAAAAAAAUCUAUACUAACUACGAUAUAAAAUAUACAUUCUCUUCUAGUUAUCAAUAUUCAAUUGGAAAAAAUGAUACAUUAUGAUGCACUGCAAUAAAAGAACCCUGAUGUUAUCAUGUAUUGAAAUUGAUCAUAUCAUAUAUCAAAAUUAAUCAUCUAGUCUUCUAGUGAGUUUCUUAAUUGAAGUCAAUACCAGGUGAUAGCGUGUGAUAUACAAUAGUUCUCAUAUCAAAAUAUGAUUUCGCAUAUCAAAUUAUUGUUCUCGAGAUUCUAGUGAGUUUGUUGCUUUGUCGAGCUUCUCUUCGAUACCAACCAAUACGAAGAAACACCAACCUACUUGUAUCCUAGUAAAUUGAAAUAUGAAUAUGAUAGAAUCAUUGUUCAAAAACUAUGAAUAUAGUCUUGGUAUAGAAGUAUCUAAACUAAUACCAUUGAGAAAUUGAAAUUUGCCUUGCUUCAUCAAAUCAAUACAUCCUUAUAUAUUGCAUUCCAUAUAAAAAAGUCUUUCUAGUUUUAUCGCCAAAUAUCAAAAUGUGCUCUUAGUAUCAAACUGAUGAUCAAUCUCUAAAUUUUUCCUCUUCAACCAUUGGUUAUUAAGCCUUAAUCUUGUUUUCCAUCUUUUAGAUUAAUGUGAAAGUUAUACAACACUUGCAUAAAAUUUUACCAACUUACAACAUGAAUUUCAAAAGAGAUAAUUAGCACAAUUGCUAAUUAUAGGUUAAAGUAGUCAAAUUUUAUGCAAAUAUUCUAAAAAGAUCCCUAGUUAAGUUUUUCAAAUUAUGCAUUUUACACACAAAUACAAUAUCUUAAUGUUUUUCCUUUGAUAUAUAUAGUUAUAGACCUUAAAAUUGUUCCUAGGUCCCUUUUUGUUAAGAAUUUCGAUCCCACCCGCUUUCAUUUUUAUUUUUAAGCCCAUUCCAUUUGAGUUUUCAGCCUACUUUUAGGGCCCAUGUUCAUAUCCAUUAAGAAAAUUAAAUUCUAGCAUUUCAUUUUUUAGUCACAUCCCCACUAUCCGUUAAAAACAAAAAUGCUAAAAGGGCAUUUUACUCUUCAUUUUCGUAUUUGCACUAUACAACCAACCCUUCAUUCUUUUCCUCGUUUUUUUUUUUUUUCCUUUUUUUUUCCCUUCAUUUCUUUCCUUUAUUUUCCUCCCUUUCUCCCUUCCAUAGCUGGUGCCACCUCCAUUUCCAGCAGCAUCCUCUGCCACCUGUCCCUGUCAUCUACCUCGACAAUAUUGCAUUGUUGCUACAACCUAGACCCAUUGUUAGUCAUGCCACAUCUCUCUCUCUCUCUCUCUCUCUCUCUCUCUCUCUCUUUCCCUUCCUGUCUUCUUUUCUUUCCCCUCUUACCAACUCACUAGUUGUUGCCAUUCCUCUGUCUCCAGACAAUAGUCAUGGGUUGCCCGUAAUACCACCUUCCCCACACACCACCAUUAGUCACGCCACACCAUAACCACCUAUGACACCGUGGCCACACCCUAAGCUCCAUGUAAACCCUCAUGCCAUCACCUCUAUCUCCGUCCACAAUGUCGUCACUCCUCUCACUACCACUGCCCAUGGUUGCCACUCUAUCUCCUCACCAUUGAUCACCAUCUUUUUCCAUUGUGCCACCCAUAUCUGACGUAGCAUCAUUGCACUGCCUCUUUACUCUCUCAUUUGGCUAUCUUUGUUAGUUUUUUUUCGAUAAUGUGUGACCAUAUAUAAUUAUAUUUAUAUGAAUAUUAUUUAAGGGUAUUAAUUGAUAGGUAGGUAAAUCAAUUAAUUGGGCAUCCAAGAGUCUUAUGUAUGGAAGACUCAAACUACAAAUGGGGAGUUAGAAAAUUUACUUUAUAUGAAUGUGGUGUUACAACUUUUGUAACCCCAUCAUUAUGAAAUUUAUUUUCUACAUUAUAUUUGAGUAAUGGAGGAAAAUGGAAAAAUAUCCUAUGCAAUUAUAUAGAUGCAUUCAAGUUCGUAACCCACCAUUACCCAUUAAUUUGUACAUAAUGGGUGUAAAUAAUGAGUACAACUCCCAUAUAGUCUUUGAUGGGAAGACUAAGAGAUGUACAACUUUUAUAAAUUGAGGUCCCAAGCCACAUUCUCAUUCUUAUGUCAUUUUUGUUGUUUAUUUUUAACAACUUACAUCACACAAGUGACCCAUCCAUUAUAUGAGAGUAGUGAGUUGAAGACCUUGACAAUUCAAUUCACAAGGUGACUCAAUCUCACUUCAAAAGUGUUAUUGGUAUUAUGGAUUAAGGUAAGAAUAUGAUCAUUAUUUUAGCACUUAUAUUUAUUUUGUUUUAUGCAUCCAAAAUUGUUUUUUAAAAUAAUUAUUUCCGCAUAAAGUUUAUAAAAGUUUGGUUAACAAUCUUUUCCUCAUUUUCGGCUGUUCAAGAGACAUGGGUAAGUCUCAUUGAUUCCUACAACGCAUGUUUGUGGGCUUUGUUUCUUUGGGCUUGAUUAAUUUGAUCUAUAAGUGAGAUAUUGGUUUUAUUCCAUCUGGGCCUUGGGCCAGAUUUUUAUAAUUUGGGUUUAUUGGGCUUUAGUUUAUUAUAUUUUCAUUUGGGCUUUGAUUUUGUUAGAUGUUCUUUUGGGCUUGCAUUUUGUUUUGGGCUCCAACCUAAUUGAAUUUAUUUGAUAUGAAUUUCAUAUAUUUACUUUGGGUUUGCAUUAUUGCUUUAAGAUAUUAUUAUUUAGUUUUGGCCUUUGAAUUCUGACUUAGUCUUACUUUUGUUCAACGUAGUAUUGCAUGAUUUUGCAAGGUAAUCAGGGUAAAUUAUGAUAAAAAUGUAAAAUAAAGAUAUGAACUUUAAAAUUAUUUUUGACUUUAAGUCAUAUCAUUAAGUUAUUUUAUUAAACACACUUAAUUUAACUUUAUUACUUAAAUUAAGUUAUUAAGUUAGUUUAUCAAACGUAAAACUUAAUACUUAUUACUUAACGACUUAAGUUAAUUUUAGGUUAAAUUGUACUUAAGUUGUUGACUUGAAACUUAUUACUUAAUUUUUACUUUAAGUAUUAAAGUUGUUUUAUAAAAUUAAUUAAAAAUUUAUUCUAAAUCAUCAAAUAAAUAUCAAUUAUAACAAACGCAAAGGAGUCAAGUAAUAAUGGAGGUCGUGGAGUAGCAAAAAAGAUUGUGAAGGUAAUUAGGGUAAAUAGGGAUAAAAAGGUAAAAUAAAGAUAUGAACUUAAGAAUAAGUUAAUUGUUUUUAUUUAUCACUUAAAAUCAUUUUUUAUUUUAAGUCAUACUAUUAAGUUAUUUUAUCAAACAUAUUUAAUUUACUUAAUAACUUAAAUUAAGUUAUUAAGUUUGUUUAAGUCAUUAAGUUGGUUUAUCAAACAUUGGGGUGUUUGGUAAAACUUAAUACUUAUUAUUUAAUAAUUUAAGUUUACUUUAAGUUAAAUUAUAUUUAAGUUGUUAACUUAAAAUUUAUUACUUGAUUUUUAUUUUUAAGUAUUAAGGUUGUACGAUAAAAUUAACUUAAAAUUUACUUUAAAUAAUCAAAUUGAUAUAUUUAUCUUUAUAAAUUAUAAUUAAGGUAAAAAGAGUUCAGUAACAAUGGAGGUUGUGAAACAAUAAAAGAAAUCAUAAAGAUAAUUAAGGCAAAUAGAGAUAAUAAAGUAAAAUGAAAAUAUGAAAAAUAAGUUAAUUAUUUUUAUUUAUUACUUAAAAUAAUUUUUGAUUUUAAAUCAUAUCAUUAAGUUAUUUUAUCAAAUAUACUUAAUUUAUUUAAUAAUUUAAAUUAAGUUAUUAAAUCACUUCAAGUUGUUAAGUGGUUUAAUGACUUAAUUUAUCAAAUCACUUAUUCUUUACUAUUCUUUCAUUGGGACUGUCAGAAAGACCUACCACCAAGAGAAGGUCAACAAGAAAUUUUUUGAAAAAUUAACAAAUUCUCCUAAUGAGUUGUUUGUCAUGUGUUUCAUGGGAAAUAUAGAAAAUUAAAGAAAUCCUAUAUAUGUAAAACCAUAAUUGUAACAGACAAAUAAUAAAAGAAAAAGACAGAAAACUAUAAAGGAAGGAAAAUUUACAAUUAAAAUGUUUGAAAGCGCAGACAAUGUAAUCAAUCUCUUAAUUUUCCCAACACCUCCACAGAUUCCCUCUCUUUCUAUAUGUCUAUAUAUAUAUAUAUGCACCUCUUACUUGUAAACCUGUCUGAAUCUUUCUCGGGAGACAAACAGAGAUGGGGUUUGGGGUUCAGGGGUGGUCCUGCAUUUUGAUGGGUGUUGCUGUGAUAUUUUCUAGCACGUGUUUGGCAAGAGGAGUGGGAGAAGGAGAAGGAAAGUGUGAUAUAUAUGAAGAGAGUGGGGAGGUAGAUGAAUCAUAUCCUAUGUAUCAGAAGGGAGUUUGACUGCCAGAAGUACGGACGGCCGGAUAAACUCUACCUCAGAUAUAAAUGGCAGCCCAAGGACUGUGAUUUGCCCAGGUACAAUACCUCUGGAUCUUUCUUUUUCUUUGAAUUUUUUUUUUUGAAAUAUCUCUGUGGACCCCGCAUUUCGGCUCAUGCGCUUCCCACUCGAUGGCGAGUUCGAUUUUUACUUAAAAAAUUGAUUUGUUGAUUAAAAAUGACUUGGAGUCGCCGCUUAUUUUUGUUUUAUAUUUAAAAGGGUAAACAAAAUAAGAAAGAAAACCCUAAGUGUGACUCCUUGUUUUGGAAAAGGUGGUCUGUGAAAAACCGGAUCGGGUUCGGGGGUCAGGUUACUUAUCAGGAAGGUACGGAAAAAAACCGUAGCACCCUUCUAAGUCCCUAAAGUCGGGUCUCUACUAAUAAAAUGAAGUUGACGUGGCAAUUGAUGAGUAAGUCAAUGAAUAUCCUGAAUGAUCAUGCACACGUAAGAAUCGAGACAUGUAUAGACAACGAUUAGAGGGAAAAUGGGUACAUACCUGGGCAACGAGCCACCAUGCGCUAUCCAUAGAGAGGGUUAGUACACCAUAUAGAGCACAAAGCAUAUAACAUGCAUCACUAAACAUGGAUUAGAAUUGUUCGAAGAAAAACUGGAUUUUUGAAAUUCAUUUGAGAAUCAGAAUCUUAUAACUUAUUCGAAAAUUGGAUUCUUAGGAAUUAAAUGUAAGAAUGAGAACUUUUAGAAAUUAAAUUUGAAAGAAAAUUGGGAUUUUGAAGGGUUAUUUGAAAGUUCGGGAUUUUUAAGAAAAAUUAAGUUACGAAGAUCGGGAUUAUGGGAGUUAAAUUUUGAAAGGGAUCGGAAUCUUAAGUUAUUUGAGACAUGGAAAUUAUGAAGGUUGACGUGUAAAAAAUGGAUAUCUUAGAAAUCAUUUGAAGACAAAAUCUAUAGAAAUAAUGAAAUAGAUGAUAAUAAUAAUGACGAUAAUAAGUAACGGGGUAAAUACGGGAAUUGGAGCAUGGGAAACUAGAAAUUAAGUUCGGAGAUAGGACAAUUGGAAAUUCAAAUAGCUAAAUUCAGGAAUCGGAAUUUUGAAGAAUUAGACUCUAAUGAUUGAAAUUUUUAAGAGAAAUAAAUGGGUAAGUAUGGAGUAAUGUUACCGAUUAAUCAAAACGAUAUUUGGGUGGAUGAAUGUAGGAUAAUGAUUCCAAUUGAGUAACAUAAGGUUUAAGCGGAUUAUUGAAAUAUUAAAUUAUCAAAAUAAAUAUGGGAUAAUGAUCCUAAUAGAUGAAAAUAAGGUUUAAACGAAAUAUUGAAAAAUUAGGUUAAGGCACGAGAUUUUCGAAGGAUUAGACUUUAAAUAGAUAGGUAAAUCGAGGUGGAUAAUUCUAAUGAAUGAAAAAUGAGAUUUGAACUAAUUAUUGAAGAAUUAAGUUAAGGCAUGGGAUUUUCGAAGGAUUAGACUUUAAAUAAGUAAAGGAACAUAGGAUACUAAUUCUAAUUAAAGAAAAUAACAUUUAGACAAAUAGUGGGGUUUUAGGAUUGAGAAUUAAAUUAUGACAUUGGAUCUUUUAAAAGGGGCGGAUUUUGGAUAAAUAAACUAAUAUAGGAUGAUAAUACUAAUUAACGAAAAUAAUCAUUUAAACCGAAUAAAAAGAAUAGUGGAAUUUUUAGGGGUUUGAAAAUUAAAUUAGGACAUCUGNNNNNNNNNNNNNNNNNNNNNNNNNNNNNNNNNNNNNNNNNNNNNNNNNNNNNNNNNNNNNNNNNNNNNNNNNNNNNNNNNNNNNNNNNNNNNNNNNNNNNNNNNNNNNNNNNNNNNNNNNNNNNNNNNNNNNNNNNNNNNNNNNNNNNNNNNNNNNNNNNNNNNNNNNNNNNNNNNNNNNNNNNNNNNNNNNNNNNNNNNNNNNNNNNNNNNNNNNNNNNNNNNNNNNNNNNNNNNNNNNNNNNNNNNNNNNNNNNNNNNNNNNNNNNNNNNNNNNNNNNNNNNNNNNNNNNNNNNNNNNNNNNNNNNNNNNNNNNNNNNNNNNNNNNNNNNNNNNNNNNNNNNNNNNNNNNNNNNNNNNNNNNNNNNNNNNNNNNNNNNNNNNNNNNNNNNNNNNNNNNNNNNNNNNNNNNNNNNNNNNNNNNNNNNNNNNNNNNNNNNNNNNNNNNNNNNNNNNNNNNNNNNNNNNNNNNNNNNNNNNNNNNNNNNNNNNNNNNNNNNNNNNNNNNNNNNNNNNNNNNNNNNNNNNNNNNNNNNNNNNNNNNNNNNNNNNNNNNNNNNNNNNNNNNNNNNNNNNNNNNNNNNNNNNNNNNNNNNNNNNNNNNNNNNNNNNNNNNNNNNNNNNNNNNNNNNNNNNNNNNNNNNNNNNNNNNNNNNNNNNNNNNNNNNNNNNNNNNNNNNNNNNNNNNNNNNNNNNNNNNNNNNNNNNNNNNNNNNNNNNNNNNNNNNNNNNNNNNNNNNNNNNNNNNNNNNNNNNNNNNNNNNNNNNNNNNNNNNNNNNNNNNNNNNNNNNNNNNNNNNNNNNNNNNNNNNNNNNNNNNNNNNNNNNNNNNNNNNNNNNNNNNNNNNNNNNNNNNNNNNNNNNNNNNNNNNNNNNNNNNNNNNNNNNNNNNNNNNNNNNNNNNNNNNNNNNNNNNNNNNNNNNNNNNNNNNNNNNNNNNNNNNNNNNNNNNNNNNNNNNNNNNNNNNNNNNNNNNNNNNNNNNNNNNNNNNNNNNNNNNNNNNNNNNNNNNNNNNNNNNNNNNNNNNNNNNNNNNNNNNNNNNNNNNNNNNNNNNNNNNNNNNNNNNNNNNNNNNNNNNNNNNNNNNNNNNNNNNNNNNNNNNNNNNNNNNNNNNNNNNNNNNNNNNNNNNNNNNNNNNNNNNNNNNNNNNNNNNNNCCCCAAAAAAAGGGGGGAAAAAAAAAAAAAAAAAAAAAAAAUCCCAAAAAAAAACCUCUCCCCCGGGGGGGGGGGGGGGGGGGGGGUCUACAAAUAUGCCCCUCUUUGAUAGAGUUCACAAGUGUAAGGAGCGUGAACACUAGAGUGAAAAAGAAGUGUGAAAAGUGAGUGAAAUGAAGUGAACUCUAUCAAAGAACAAAGAAAGACCCCCGAACCCAAAAGGUACAAGUAGAACACAAACUCACUCGAGGCUCUAAAAUUCUAAAAGGCUCAAGGCACCUCUAAAGCUGCAUCGAGGACCCAGACUCCCUCUAAGACAUCUCUACAAGCGACCCAAGAGAUCAACGUCAAAGAUGAGUAAUUGUCGAACCACCCUGGAGUACGAGAAAGAAUGCGCCCAAAGGGGACUACCCUAUGCGGACUACGAGAUGAAUAGACGAUAAACACAGGAUAACGGAGUAAGGAAAAACCGAGGGACAAUGCAAAACCAUGAAGGCAAGAUGCGCAAAGCCAGUGGAUAUGAACGCCAGGAGUUGUGACUUUGGAGGACAAGGCUGACUCUAAACACUAAACUAAGAAAAACGACGGCUCUGGAAGCCAGGCCAAAAAGCUAACUCUAAGCGCUAAACUAGAAAAUAACAGCUCUGGAAGCCAACCAAAAACUAACUCUAAAAGCUAAAUUAGAAAAUAACAGCUCUGGAAGCCUAAACAAGACGACAGCGAUGGCUAAACAAGACGACGGUGAUGGCUCUGGAAGCCUAAAUGAGACGACAGUGAUGGCUCUAGAAGCCUAAAUGAGACGACAGUGAUGGCUUUGGAAGCCCAAACGAGACGAUAGUGAUGGCUCUGGAAGCCUAAAUGAGACGACAGUAAUGGCUCUGGAAGCCUAAACAAGAUGACAGUGAUGACUCUGGAAGCCUGAAUGAGACGACAGUAAUGGCUCUGGAAGCCUAAACAAGACGACAGUGAUGGCUCUGGAAGCCUGAAUGAGACGACAGUAAUGGCUCUGGAAGCCCAAACGAGACGAUAGUGAUGGCUCUGGAAGCCUAAAUGAGACGACAGUAAUGGCUCUGGAAGCCUAAACAAGACGACAGUGAUGGCUCUGGAAGCCUGAAUGAGACGACAGUAAUGGCUCUGGAAGCCCGAAUGAGACGACAGUAAUGGCUCUGGAAGCCUAAACAAGACGACAGUGAUGGCUCUGGAAGCCUGAAUGAGACGACAGUAAUGGCUCUGGAAGCCUAAACAAGACGACAGUGAUGGCUCUGGAAGCCUGAAUGAGAUGACAAUAAUGGCUCUGGAAGCCUAAACAAGACGACAGUGAUGGUUCUGGAAGCCCGAACGAGACGAUAGUGAUGGCUCUGAAAGCCUGAAUGAGACGACGGUGAUGGCUCUGGAAGCCUGAACAAGACGACAGUGAUGGCUCUGGAAGCCCAAAUGAGACGAUAGUGAUGGCUCUGGAAGCUUAAAUGAGAUGACAGUAAUGGCUCUAGAAGCCUAAACAAGACGACAGUGAUGGCUCUGGAAGCCUGAAUGAGACGACAGUAAUGGCUCUGGAAGCCUAAACAAGACGACAGUGAUGGCUUUGGAAGCCUGAAUGAGAUGACAGUAAUGACUCUGGAAGCCCAAACGAGACGAUAGUGAUGGCUCUGGAAGCCUAAAUGAGACGACAGUAAUGGCUCUGGAAGCCUAAACAAGACGACAGUGAUGGCUCUAGAAGCCUAAAUGAGACGACAGUAAUGGCUCUGGAAGCCCGAAUAAAAAAACUAACUCUAAAAGCUAAACAUGAAAAUAACAGCUCUGGAAGCCAACAAAAAAACUAACUCUAAAAGCUAAACUAGAAAAUAACAGCUCUGAAAGCCAAACAAAAAACUAACUCUAAAAGCUAAACUAGAAAAUAACAGCUCUGGAAGCUAACCAAAAAAACUAACUCUAAAAGCUAAACUAGAAAAUAACAGCUGUGGAAGCUAACCAAAAAACUAACUCUAAAAGCUAAACUAGAAAAUAAUAGCUCUGAAAGCCAAACAAAAAACUAACUCUAAAAGCUAAACUAGAAAAUAAUAGCUCUGAAAACCAAACAAAAAACUAACUCUAAAAGCUAAACUAGAAAAUAACAGCUCUGGAAGCUAACCAAAAACUAACUCUCAAAGCUAAACUAGAAAAUAACAGCUCUGGAAGCCACUAAAAACUAACUUUAAAAGCUAAACUAGAGAAUCCAUAGGUGAAAACCUACGGUGGCGAUACAAUAAAAAUGCCCAUAGACGCCAAUCUAUGGUGGUGAAACUCUCAAAGGCCCACAGAUAAAAAUCUAUGGUGGUGAUAACCGAAACAAAUGCUCAUAGAUGAAAAUCUAUGAUGGUGAAUCUGAAAUGCCCGUAGAUAGCUAAUCCAUGGUGGUGAAAUAACUGAAAUGCCCAUAGACGUCCGAUCUAUGGUGGUGAUAAACAAAACAAAUGCCCAUAGAUGAAAAUCUAUGAUGGUGAAUCUGAAAUGCCCAUAGAUGUCUGAUCUAUGGUGGUGAUAAACGAAACAAAUGCUCAUAGAUGAAAAUCUAUGAUGGUGGAUCUGAAAUGCCCAUAGAUAGCUAAUCCAUGGCGGUGAAAUAACUGAAAUGCCCAUAGAUGUCUGAUCUAUGGUGGUGAUAAACGAAACAAAUGCUCAUAGAUGAAAAUCUAUGAUGGUGGAUCUGAAAUGCCCAUAGAUAGCUAAUCCAUGGUGGUGAAAAAUCUUAAACAAAGGGGGAUGCCCUAAACAGACUAAAAAAAUAGGGGGAUGCCCUAAACAAGAUGACGGUAGGGGGAUGCCCUGAACGAAAUGACAGUGGGGGGAUGCCCCAAACGAAAAUGACAGUGGGGGGAUGCCCCAAACGUAAAUGACAGUGGGGGAUGCCCCAAACGAAAAUGACAGUGGAGGGAUGCCCCAAACGAAAAUGACAGUGGGGGAUGCCCCAAACGUAAUGACAGUGGGGGGAUGCCCCAAACGUAAAUGACAGUGGGGGGAUGCCCCAAACGUAAAUGACAGUGGGGGGAUGCCCCAAACGAAAAUGACAGUGGGGGGAUGCCCCAAACGAAAAACGCUAAAGGGGGUAUGCCCCAGUAUGACGACUCGCAAAGAUCAAGAAAUGGACUGAGUAGUGAGAAAGAUGUGCAAAACAGUCGAUGUACUCAAAGAUAGGGGUAUACCCCAGUGUGGCAUGCCACUGCAAAUCUCAAUCCGCUGGAAAUGGCUGAAAGGGACUCUACGAGUCUCAAACGACGCUCCGCUAAGAGCUCAGGAAUAAUGGUCAGUGAGGCGAAUACAAUAUAUCUCGAUCGAGUGAUGGAAACUGUAACGGAUAUGUGAGAGAACGAUCGCCUCCGGGGCUAAAUGAAGGCAAUAUACCCCAGUAUGACAUCAGAUGUACCCAAUCUGUCCUGAUGACCCGAGAAUAACACCAAUGGGACGCGUAACAGAUCUGAUAUGUACCCCUCUGAAAUGACGACGCGGGAAAUCCAGGCACCAGAGACAACUCCAUCCAGGAAUCACGACUACAUCAAAGGGUAUGAAUCUGGCUGAAUGACUCAAGAGAGGCUCCUCGGAGUAUUCGGACAAAAUGAAAUCAAACAUCGACCUGGCGUGUAUCUCAUAACCGUGGAUGAUCAUGUAAACCAGUGGGGAUCUAUAAAUCUCGAUCAAGAUGGGGAAUAUGUCCCAAUGUAAUACGUCGAAAAAUCAAAUGAGCUCAGGUCAUCCAUGCCUAGCUAGAUGGCUCUCGAUAGGCUCCACUAAGGAAUCAUCGUGAGGAUAGCGAAUAUAUCAUCAUCUCUGCACACAUCUCGCCAAAUAAGGAUAAACACGCGACCCCCUCAUGAUCUGUAAAUCUCAUCCGAACCGAAAUAUGCCCCUGUAUGGUAUCGAAAUGUAUGAUAGGUCGGAGAUCAGAUAGCAUGGAAUCAUCUAUCCUCAAACAUGUGACCUCUGCGAAGAUCCAUAAAGAUCCUCCGAAACGAAAUAUGCUCCAGUAUGGCAUCAGGUGCGCAACAGGUCCGAAUAACAAACGUCAUGAAAUCAUCCAUCAUCGCACAUGUGACCUCCAUGAAAGUCCGUAAAUCUCAUCCGAAACGGAAAAUAUGCCCCAGUAUGGGCAUCGGAUGCACGACAGGUCAGAAAUCGAGCGACACGAAAUCAUCUGUCAUCGAACAUGUAACAAUGGUCGUCUGAAUCCAUAACUGAAUCAUGCACACAUAUCCAAAAUGUACCUCCUAGGUGGAGAGGCAUGAUGGAAUCCAAGUGUCGAGAAGUGCGGACCCGGCUGGGUGGAUCUCAGAGGCUCCGUAAGGUAACGAUCAUGUCCACGUCUCGAUGAGCAUCCAGUAAGUGAUGAUCGCGCAAGUCCGUGAGGAUCCAUGAACCUCUAAAUGAAAUGGGAUAUGCCGCAAUGUGGCAUCAAGAGGUACGAUAUGUCAAAAAAAUCAGGUGACACCAAAUCAAUCAUCAUCAAACUCACGAUCCUGGUAAUCCGAACACAACUGAAUCAGACCUAAACAUCAAAGAGGCGACUCCCAAAAGAAGAAGCAUGGCGAUAUCUAAACAUCAACCAGAUCUCAAUCACUUGUCCAAGUAGAGGCUGCCGAAGACGACAUCUGAUCCCAUGGCCUCAGGGUGGUCUUAAGACACGGGACGUAACGUAGGCCAAGGUGAUAGGGUGAUAGAAAUGAAAGAAAACUAGGCUCAAAUACCCAAUGAUCAAAACUCAUGCCCUCAUAUAUGAAAUGCAACAUGUAUAGUGAACCUCAUGAGCCAUGGACCUGAGGAUGCCUAAUGUGAAUAUGAUAUCGAUAAGGAGACAAAUGAAGCAAAAUGAACUGGUAGUGAUAUGUGUAAUGAUGAUGCGAAGUAUCGAACCCGAGAUGGGUCACUGUAAGGGGAGAAUAAGAUGUGAAGGGAAUGAGAUGAAUCACAAGCAACGAUAAAAACGACAGCGAAACAAUGGAUAUGUGAAGAAAGGUAGUGAUCGACUCAGAUCAAACAUGAAGUGAAGUCACAUCAAUAAUGAAUGUAAUGAUGGGAAGGACAAUGACUCGGAGUCCUUAGGAGAAGGUCACUCAUCUCUCUCACAAAUAGAUAUGACGAAGUAAUACAAAUAACAUGGGAUCUCAGAGAGCUCACAUACGAACUCCCAAUAACGAACAUACUCGAUAAAAAUGACCCCCAGACAUCAAUAUACAUACCCAAUGAUCGAGAACACUAUGCACAUACACACAUGUGCUAAUAAUAAUAAUAAUGAUUUUUUUUUUUUUUUUUUUUUUUUUUUUUUUUUUACAUAUAUACAAAUACGCGUACCCUGAACGUGAACAAAUGAACCCCAAAGAUGAUAUCGAUAACAAAUAAACACACCCCCAAGUGAUAAGGCAACCCAAAACUCUCUCUAACGAGAUGACCUUCUCAAACUAAGGAUCUCUAAACCAAUGUCCGUGAGAUAGAUGGUGGAAAUGAUGUGACUAUCCUCCAUGUGAUGAACUGAGGAGGCUCACCACUCAGGGUGGAGAGAAUAUGAGACAAACAAAUAGUAGAUAGGAUAAAGAAGAAGAGAUGAAUAACACAACCAAUAAGAUGAGAUGAAAGUGCAGAGGUGCAGUGAUAGGAAAAGAUGAUGAGAAAAACAUGCCCCUAGGUCCAAGGCUCAUGAAACUACCAAACAAUGCAUGCAUACAUUAAAGGGCCCUUAUCCUGGUGUGAAAAUGUGAGCAAGGCGAUAAGAAAGAAAGGCUAUAAUGUGCAUGCGAGGCUCAAUGGGCUAGCAACGGACUAUGUAUCAAAAGGGAAUAACAAGGUAAUGGCUAACCGAAAUGAUGGCCACCCAUCCUGCGACCAUGGUCUCAAACAUAGUACCUCUUUAGCUGAUCCACAUUGGUUGGCUCUGAGAAUCGGUUUCCAUCUAAAUCCAUCAACCAUGCAGCGCCCUUUGGGGUCAACUCCCUGAUGAAAUAAGGUCCGCUCCAGUUGGGUCUGAACUUCCCUCUAGGAUCCCUGAUCAAUCCCCUGAUGACUUUCAGAACCAAGUCACCAAUCUGUAAUGGUCUGGGCCUGACCCGCUUUUUGAAAGCGCGGGCCAUCUUCCUCUGAUACGCACGAACAUGGUCUGCUGCUCUCAAUCUCCUCUCAUCUAGGAGAUUGAGCUGAUCAAAUCGAGCCUGAGCCCAAUCUGCCUCGGGAAUCUGCUGCUCUAAUGCUACUUUCAACGAACCCAUCUCAAUCUCAACGGGUAGCAUGGCCUCCAUGCCAUAUACCAAGGAGUAGGGUGUGGCGCCUGUAGAGGUGUGAAAAGAAGUCCGAUAAGCCCACAAUGCAAAUGGGAGCUUCUCUGACCAAUCCCGAGAAGUCUCGACCAUCCUCCGUAAUAUCCUCUUGAUAUUCUUAUUCGCGGCCUCUACUGCCCCAUUCGUCUGUGGCCUGUACGCAGACGAUCUAUGAUGCCGGAUGCUGUAUCUCUGUACUAAGGUGUCAACUUCUGCUCUGAAAUGUACCCCUCUAUCCGAAAUCAACUCAUGGGGGACUCCAUAGCGACAGAUAAUGUGUGAUCUGAUAAAACUAGCAACUCCAGCUGAUGUCAAUCUCGCAUAUGAGGCGGCCUCCACCCACUUGGUGAAGUAAUCGAUGGCGACCAGGAUAAACUCAUGACCACUGGAAGAUUUCGGUGAAAUCUUCCCAAUGAUAUCAAUACCCCAGACGGAAAAUGGCCAUGGUGAAGUCAGUGCAUGCAGCUCGGAGGGCGGCACGUGAAUGAGAUCUCCGUGUAUCUGACACUCGGGACACCUCUGAACAAACUGGCAGCAAUCUGUCUCCAUGUUCAACCAGAAGUAUCCUGUCCUCAUGAUCUUACGAGCCAACAUAUGUCCUCCCAUAUGUGGUCCGCAGACUCCCGCAUGAACCUCUCUCAUCACCCGGUCGGUAGAGGCGCGGUCCAAACACAAUAAUAGCAUCCCGUCAGGUGAUCGCCUGUACAGUGUCUCGCCGCAAAUCACGAAUCGAGUGGCCAACUGUCUCAAUGCUCUCUUAUCCUUGGCCGUGGCGGCCUCAGGAUAUACGCCGAGUCUCAAAAAGUGAUAUAUGUCGUGAUACCAUGGCAAACCAUCAUCUGGCUCUACAUCAUCGAUCAGGCAACAGUAAGCAGGAGCAGAUCUCGACUCGAUCAACAGAGGUCGAACAGUGGCAUCAACGGGAAUAUCGAUCAUGGAAGCUAGAGUAGCUAAAGCAUCAGCAAACUGGUUCUGCGCUCUAGGCAGAUGGGUAUAUCUCAAAUCAUCAAAUCUCCCAACCAGUAGCUCCAAAUAUGCAUGAUAAGGCUUAAGCUUCACAUCUCUAGUCUUCCACUCGCCCUAAAUCUGUCUCAAUACCAGAUUGGAGUCACCAAACACCUCCAUCUGUCUAAUCCCGAGCUCGAGGGCCGUCUCUAAUCCCAAGAUACAAGCCUCAUACUCAACAAUGUUGUUCGUGGUAGGAUGUCGAUCCGAGAAUGCCAAACGAACUGAUCUGGGAAUGUGAUCACCGUGAGGGGAUAUCAACAAGACGCCUAUCCCAUAUCCAGAAUGGUUGGCCGCGCCAUCAAAGUACAUGUGCCAACCUGACAGACUAGUCACAGCAGCGACAUCCUCGUCUGGAAAAUCAUCGUCAAUAGCUCUGGCAUCAGAAACUGGUAAUGAGGCUAGAUGAUCUGCUACAAUGCUCCCUCUGAUGGACUUCUGAGUGACAUAAUGGAUGUCAAACUCAAUAAGAAGUACCAGCCAUCUCAUAAGGCGACCAACCAGAGCGGGUCUGUCAAACAAAUAUCUCAGAGGAUCCAGGCGAGAUAUCAAAUGCACAGAAUACUCGGUCAUGUAAUGUCUCAAUCGGCGAGUGACCCAAACCAAUGCCAAGCAAUAACGCUCAAUCAUGACAUACCUCAUCUCGUAGUCUAACAUCCUCUUACUCAAAUAGUAAAUGGCUCGAUCCUUGCCCGAAUCAUCGAGCUGAGCUAACAUGCAACCCAAGGCCACGUCUGAUACGGACAAGUAUAAGAGUAGAGGACGACCUGGUGUAGGAGGCGCCAAAACAGGAGGUGACAACAAGUACUCCCUGAUCCUCUCGAAGGCACGCUGGCACUGGUCAUCCCAAACAGUAGGUUGACUCUUCCUCAAGAGUCGAAAUAUGGGCUCACAGAUGUCUGUCAAUCUGGCUAAGAAUCUACUGAUAUACUGAAGUCUGCCCAGGAAGCCUCUGACCUCUCUCUCUGUCCUCGGCGCAGGCAUGUCAAGAAUGGCUCUAAUCUUGUCCGGAUCUACCUCUAUGCCUCGCUCACUGACCAUGUAUCCCAAGAGUUUCCCAGAAAUCACUCCGAAAGUGCACUUCUUGGGAUUCAGUCUCAAUCUGAACUGUCUGAUCCUCUCAAAGAACCUCUCAAGAGCUGUCAAGUGAUCUGAUCUAUCUCGGGAUUUCACUAUCAUGUCGUCUACGUAAACCUCGACAUCCCGAUGCAUCAUGUCAUGGAAAAGUGUGGUCGCUGCUCUCUGAUAUGUGGCUCCUGCGUUCUUCAAUCCGAAUGGCAUGACUCUAUAGCAAUAAGUACCCCACUCGGUAAUGAAGGACGUCUUCUCCAUGUCCUCUGGAGCCAUCAAGAUCUGACUGUACCCGAAAAAUCCGUCCAUAAAGGACAACAUCGAAUGACCCGUCGUACUGUCAACUAACAUGUCGAUGUGUGGAAGAGGAAAAUCAUCCUUAGGACUAGCCUUGUUGAGAUCUCGGAAAUCAACACAGACUCUUACCUUGCCGUCCUUCUUGGGAAUAGGGACGACAUUGGCCAGCCACUCCGGGUACUCAACCACUGAUAAGAAUCCUACACUGAGCUACUUCUGGAUCUCCUCUUUCACCUGCAAGCUCCAACGAGGGUGUAAUCGUCUCAACUUCUGCUUAACCAGUCUGGCCUGGGGCAGAAGUGGCAAACGAUGCUGGACGAUAGAUGGAUCAAGGCCUGGCAUGUCCUCAUAGGACCAUGCGAAAACGUCUAAGUAGGAUCUGAGUAGCUAGAUGAGGCUAUCUCUCUCAUCUGUAGACAAAUCCGAUCCGAUCCUCAACUCCCUAGGCUGAUCUGCCGUGCCAAAGUCAACAAUCUCGCUGUCCCCUACAGCAGGUGAAACUCUCUGAUCAACGGGGUCUGAAUCGAAAGCAAAAGACGAGUCAUCGUCUAAGUCGUGCUGCGCAACCUCAUCAUCAAUGUCAAAAAUCUAUGAUGUGGGUGAAGAUGGUGCAGAUAAAUCAAUAACAUGAGAGACAGGCAAAUACUCAAAGGUGCUCAAAUCCAUAGAUGAAAAGUCAGAAACAUAGUCAUGACGGGAGACAAAUCCCGAUAAAACAUCAAAGGGGAGAGGUGGGUCCACAAGGUCGGACGCUCCCUCAACUAGGCCAACAGGGCCAUCAAACACAUCAACAGCAACUAUAACAUCCUCGACGACCUCUGGAGUGGGGUCAACCUGGAUCUCCUCGGCGAUCUCGAGGACGGACACCCCAAAGAGAUCAAAUGGUGAAGCGAGCUCCGGCGGGGCUAUCUCCUCAGUCUGGCCCAAGCUCAUCGCGAGCAUCUCAUCAACGUACUCAUCACGCGGCACGGCUCCAUCCACUACGUCUCCAAUCUAUGCAAAAGUCCCGUGAUCAUCGAUCUCAUCCGGGAAGCAAAGCGUCAUAAGGCUCGUGCGAUCUGGGGAGGAAGGAGCAAUCAACACAGAAGCCGAAGGGCUAGGGGCUCCGUCACUCAACUGUAACUGCUGGACGAGGCACUGAAGCUCGGCCUCCUGGGUGGUGCUGAGUCCUCCGAUGAUCCCAUCAGAUGGUGCAUGUGACUCCGAUGCCCUCACAAAGUAAUCAAAUAAGCUCCUGGCGUAUGGGCGAAGAGGAUAGUCGAAAGGCGUGUGGGUCAGCCGAGCCCUCACUCUCUCCCUACGCAAACGCGCCAUGUAUCGAUAGUCAGCCUCGGUGGGGAUGAACCCAAGCCCAAAUGGUAUGUCAUGAUCAGGAAUGGUGAUUAACUCGCUCGGUCCAUGCUGACGUCAACCCAACCCCAUGCCGGGUAGAUAGGACAUGCCUCUCAUGAUAUCAAGCACCACUGUGCUCCCAUGUUGGUCAAAGGACAUAGCGAUGAAGUCCAGGCAAAAGUCUCCCAGUCUGUACCUCAUCAAAAGUGAACCCGGUCAGUAGUAAAUCAUCAUCACUGUGGCUGAUCUGGAGCACGGGCUCAGCGGAAAUGAACAUGUCCCCUGCCGACUGUACGACGACUACCUGGCCCUCAUGGAUGAACUUCACUUUCUGAUGAAGUGAAAAAGGAAUGGCUCCAGCUCGAUGAAUCCACGGUCGGCCCAAAAGCAGGUUAAAGGAUGUAGGAAUCCUCAAAACCUGAAACACGGCGACAAAAGUGGCUGGACCAAUCAGCAACUCGAUCUCCAAUGUACCCAUGACCUCCCUCCGAGUACUGUCAUAAGCUCGGACGGUCUGAGUGGAGGGACUGAAAUCAGAAGGAGCGUAUCUAAGAGCGAUGGCGGUGGCCAGAGGACAUACGUUCAGGGCUGAGCCAUUGUCCAGAAGGGCAGAUGGAACUCGACGACCUGAAAAGCCAACAGAUAUAUAGAGAUGACGCGUGUGGUCUGAACCCUCUGGUGGCAAGUCAUCAUCGGAAAAGACGAUGCAAGUGGCUCUGCCGGCCGUCAUCAUAUGGAUCAAUCCCUCGGGGGAGGUGGUAGUCUCGACUCGGAUCUGGCUCAAAGCCCGAAUCAGAGCAUCACGAUGAAUGCUCGAGGACGCCAACAGGCUCCAAAUGGAAAUACGAGCCUGAGUGCUCCGCAACUGUCUCAAGAUCUCAUCGUCCUCGGCUUUGACCUCCUCGGGAGCGGACGUACCCUCAAUUGGCCUAGCUGCCGCGGGAGGUGGCUGUCGCAUCACUCUGCCUCCUCGGAAAACAUACUGAAUGUCCAGAGUCUGAGAAUCAUCAUUGUGUGGAGCCUGAAACUCCUCAACAUCUGGGACUAAGACGAACGACGUCUGAAUGCUAUAGCGCGGCAAGAUCAAUGGCUCAACGGUGGCAGCCUGCACUGACGCCGCCUCGGGAACUAAUCGGAAUGAAGCAGGCGUCCGAGGGCCCAGAGUCACCCCACUCAUCUCAUAAAUCACAUCUGGCAUGAUGGGCUCCGGGUCUGGAUCAUCACCACUCAGCAUGUGGAUGUGGUCAUCGAUCUCAUCAAACUCCAAGAAAUGAAUGCCAUCAGCUGGUGGAGGGAUUGCAUGCGUGGUGUGAGCAGGCAACGGGUUUGUGGUCACACUCGGCUGACCCAAGUGCACCAAACCCUGGUCGAUCAAAUCCUGAACGGCAUGCCUCAAAGCGGUGCAUCGAUCUGUCUCAUGUCCAGGCCCCUGAUGGUAUGCACAAUGUAGAUCCAUCCUGAACUGAGGUGGAAUCGAUUGAGGCGGCGGCCGAGGGGUGUGAGUAGUCAAUAACCCAGCCUCUGUAAGCUUCCGAAGAGUCUGGCUCAACGGCAUGCCUAUAUGUGAGAACUGCCUUUGCGUCCUCAAAGCAAAGGGAGCAGAAGUCUGCUGAGCUCUGGGUCGGGGAUAAGGCGCUGCGGGUCUCGCAGUGAACUGAGCAGCGUAGCAUGGCUGUCCUGUAGCCGUGUAGGAAACCGAGGGUCUCUCAAUGCCCUGGGAGGCAUAAUAAGGCAAAGCCAAAGUCUGCGGAGUAUAUGUCUGAUCAUAAGCUGGACGAGGUGCCCGUGGCCUGUACUGAUGAGAUGCAUAGGACGAAUGAGGCUCGGGAAACUGUGGGAUCGGCUGAUGGCGCCUGAGAGGCCUCUGACUGGAAGAACUGAUAACGCUCACAUCUGUUGGCCUCGAUCCUACGAAGGGCUUCUUCCCCUUAAUAUCACUAAGGGAAGAAUCUGUCCAUAAUCCUCUCGAGAUGCCGUCCUCGACAUCGUACAGAGCCAUAACCAGAGACCCAAAAUCUGUGAACGGGGCCCCUACCACAUGUCUGGCGAUCCGUGGCUGCAGGCUCCUCAAAACCAUCUGAAUCUGGUCCCUCUCUGAUGGUCUAUCGAUAAUCUCAGCUAUCUUCCCGCGCCAGCGGGAAAUGAACGAAGAAACUGACUCGUCCGAUCUCUGCCUAAGAGCCUCUAGCUCUCUCCUCGAUACGUCUACGACAGUGUUAAACGAAAACUGUCGUAGGAACUCCUGGGCCAAGUCGUCCCAUGUGCGGCGCCUCGAGGCCUCCAAAGAUGCAAACCAACGCUGGGCCGCCCCACUCAAAGAUAGUGGGAAAAGAGUAAUCAUCUGAGGCUCGUCCAGUCCAUGAGCCCUCAUCACGGUGCUGUAUAAUCGGAGAUGGAGGCGUGGACAACCAAUGCCAGUAUACCUCUCAAUGUCAGGCAUCCUGAACUUAGCCGGCAAGCUAGCUACCGGCACUCCAUCAAAACCCUCCCAAGUAGUGGCUCUGUCUGAAGCCCUCAAUUGUCGCAAACCCUGCUCAAGUCUAUCCAUGCGAGCAUGUGGGUCCUCUGAGGUCGGGGUGAGCGCGGUGAUGGGAGGCAGGGCAACCCCGGUCUGACUAUGCAGAGUGAACGGCAUGGCCUGUGGCGCUGACUGACUGGGUGGAGGAGGUGGUGGCACUGUAGGGUCAUACUGGGCACCAACCGGGGGCGGGACCUGCUGGGCCUACUGCCCAUCUAUCCUCCGGCCAAGGCUAGCUAUAGCCUCCUGAAUCGAAGCCAUGGCCUCAGCGAACUGAUGGACGGUAACUAUCUGUGAAUUCAUAUCCCUCUGAUCUGAUCUCUGGUCUAACCAGUCCGAUACCCUGAUCAAUCUACCCCCAACUCUAAUCCAAGAAGUCGAUCCCAGACUGAACGUAUCGGUACUCCUACAAUAGUGAAAAUACUAGAUAAGGUGCGGGGUAAGGGAAACUUCACAAAGAAUGUCUAUCAAAUGUGUCAAAAGGUAGCCUGGAAGCGAACAAACCGAUAUCCAACCCUGAGCAGGUAUAUAAGAGACUACUGCGAAGGUAACCAAACCUGUUACUACUGAAACGGCUCUGAAGGCCCACGGAUGCACCCACGUGUAGGGAGGGAGUCCUAAUUGAAGGAUCUACGACUCAACCUACAAGGUGAAGGUGGCUCUAAAUGGAUACGGGUGGACUUUAAAAGAUCCCUAGCAGAAGCGAUCAUACCCUCCAGCAGUACGCAACCCUCUACACGCCUCAAAGAGAGACGGGGUGCUUCCAUGCAAGGUGGUCAUCACCUCCACACAUGCACUACCUCGACACCCCAGGGGGUUUCCUAUGGUGAAAUCUCUCAAACUCUCAACGCUCAAUGGUCAACUAAAGUGCAUAGUGAAUGGUGUGGGUGCAUCCGAAAACCCUAAGGAUCUAGAGCAGAAGAUGAAACACACUGGUCGCACGACUAUCCAUGAAACCUAGCUCGGGGCUAUACAGGUCUUCAAUGAUCGGACUCCAAUCGACAUCAAAGUGUCGCUCUCCUCCAGAAUGCUCUCGUGCAUCGAUAUAGCCCGUCGCUAGACCCUACUCCUAAUCUCGGGCUCGGUCAGAGAGCAAGCACACAGAAUGUCUCACACUUGCAAUAGUGAGAACUGAGAUGAAAGGAAUGACCGAAACCAAGAGAGUUGGAGGUAGGGGGAUAGAAGUGAGACCCACAUAGACAGACGACAUGCAAUCAUGCAGAGGGAGGGCAGUCAUGCAUCAUACAGUCAGACAGAGCAGGAUAUAUCACUCAUAUACACACAAGAUAAGCGAAAAUACGACAAUCAAGACGAAUAGUGAUACAAACAUCAUGCUCAAAGACGGUCAAAACAGUAUUACAAGUCAGAGAAUCAACAUGUCAAGUCGAGUGAUAUACAGUGGUGAGUGUAUGCAUGUGAAGUGAUCAGGACAAGCAUGGAAAAAUCAGAAUCAAUGUGCUAAUCAAUGCAAUAAGAUCAAUCAUCGAUAAUCCAACAUGUCAAAAUCUCGAAUGAACACGACAUCUAAGCAUGCAUCAAGAAAUCCUCAAUGUGCAAUCAAGAGAUGAGCAUCCACUGAUCGUCCAAUCAAAUGCCACGUUUGCUUCACUCUAAGUUCAAGCUUGACCCUCUAAAAAAAAUUCCCCAGCGGAGUCGCCAUUUUGUGGACCCCGCAUUUCGGCUCAUGCGCUUCCCACUCGAUGGCGAGUUCGAUUUUUACAUGAAAAAUUGAUUUGUUCAUUAAAAAUGACUUGGAGUCGCCACUUAUUUUUGUUUUAUAUUUAAAAGGGUAAACAAAAUAAGAAAGAAAACCCUAAGUGUGACUCCUUGUUUUGGAAAAGGUGGUCUGUGAAAAACCCGAUCGGGUUCGGGGGUCAGGUUACUUAUCAGGAAGGUACGGAAAAAAACCGUAGCACCCUUCUAAGUCCCUAAAGUCGGGUCUCUACUAAUAAAAUGAAGUUGACGUGGCAAUUGAUGAGUAAGUCAAUGAAUAUCCUGAAUGAUCAUGCACACGUAAGAAUCGAGACAUGUAUAGACAACGAUUAGAGGGAAAAUGGGUACAUACCUGGGCAACGAGCCACCAUGCGCUAUCCAUAGAGAGGGUUAGUACACCAUAUAGAGCACAAAGCAUAUCACAUGCAUCACUAAACAUGGAUUAGAAUUGUUCGAAGAAAAACUGGAUUUUUGAAAUUCAUUUGAGAAUCAGAAUCUUAUAAAUUAUUUGAAAAUUGGAUUCUUAGGAAUUAAAUGUAAGAAUGAGAACUUUUAGAAAUUAAAUUUGAAAGAAAAUUGGGAUUUUGAAGGGUUAUUUGAAAGUUCGGGAUUUUUAAGAAAAAUUAAGUUACGAAGAUCGGGAUUAUGGGAGUUAAAUUUUGAAAGGGAUUGGAAUCUUAAGUUAUUUGAGACAUGGAAAUUGUGAAGGUUGACGUGUAAAAAAUGGAUAUCUUAGAAAUCAUUUGAAGACAAAAUCUAUAGAAAUAAUGAAAUAGAUGAUAAUAAUAAUGACGAUAAUAAGUAACGGGGUAAAUACGGGAAUUAGAGCAUGGGAAACUAGAAAUUAAGUUCGGAGAUAGGACAAUUGGAAAUUCAAAUAGCUAAAUUCAGGAAUCAGAAUUUUGAAGAAUUAGACUCUAAUGAUUGAAAUUUUUAAGAGAAAUAAAUGGGUAAGUAUGGAGUAAUGUUACCGAUUAAUCAAAACGAUAUUUGGGUGGAUGAAUGUAGGAUAAUGAUUCCAAUUGAGUAACAUAAGGUUUAAGCGGAUUAUUGAAAUAUUAAAUUAUCAAAAUAAAUAUGGGAUAAUGAUCCUAAUAGAUGAAAAUAAGGUUUAAACGAAAUAUUGAAAAAUUAGGUUAAGGCACGAGAUUUUCGAAGGAUUAGACUUUAAAUAGAUAGGUAAAUCGAGGUGGAUAAUUCUAAUGAAUGAAAAAUGAGAUUUGAACUAAUUAUUGAAGAAUUAAGUUAAGGCAUGGGAUUUUCGAAGGAUUAGACUUUAAAUAAGUAAAGGAACAUAGGAUACUAAUUCUAAUUAAAGAAAAUAACAUUUAGACAAAUAGUGGGGUUUUAGGAUUGAGAAUUAAAUUAUGACAUUGGAUCUUUUAAAAGGGGCGGAUUUUGGAUAAAUAAACUAAUAUAGGAUGAUAAUACUAAUUAACGAAAAUAAUCAUUUAAACCGAAUAAAAAGAAUAGUGGAAUUUUUAGGGGUUUGAAAAUUAAAUUAGGACAUCUGGUUUCUAAAGGAUUGGAUUUUAAAUAACUAAACUCGUAUAGGAUGAUAAUACUAAUUAACGAAAAUAACAUUUAAACGGAAUAAAAAGAAUAGUGGAAUUUUUAGGGGUUUGAAAAUUAAGUUAGAACAUUGAAUUUUUAAAGAGUUGGACCUGAAAUGAAUAAAAAGAUAGGGGAUAAGAAUUCUAGUUAACGAAAAUAACAAUUAGGCGAAUAAUAGAAUUUCGAAGGUUGAAAGUUAAAUUGAGAUUUUUGAAAGAUUUGACUUUAAAUAAAUAUAGGAUGAUGAUUCUAAUUGAUAAAAAUGAAAUUUAAACGAAUUGUAGAAUUUUUAGGAUUGAAAAAUUAAAUUUAAAAAAAAUAUACGGAAUGUUUGAAGGAUUAGACUUUAAAUAACUAAAUAAAUACGGGAUUGUAACUCUAAGUGAUGAAAAUAAAAUUGAGUUGAAUUGUAGAGUUUUUAGGAUUUGAAAGAUUAAAUUAAAACAUGGAAUUUUUGAAGGAUUAAACUUUAAAUAACUAGAUAAAUACGUGAUAAUAAUUCUAAUUGACGUACAUGAGAUUUAAACGACUUAUGGAGAAAUUAAAUUAAGACCUGUGAUUUUUAAAAGGGUUAGACUUUAAAUAACUAUAUAUGUAUGAGAUAAUGAUUUUAUUUGAUAAAAAUAAGAUUUAAACGAACUAUUGAAAAAUUAAAUUGAGGCAUGAGAUUUUUUUUAAAAGGGUUAGACUUUAAAUAACUAUAUAAAUAUGGAAUUAAUCACUCUAUUUAAUGAAAAUGAGAUUUUAACGAGUAUUUGAAGGAUUAAAUUCAAAUAUAGGAUUUUUGAAGGAUUACUUAAAGACCUAAGUUUUGAAAAUGGAAUGUAAAGUCUAGAAUGUAGAAACUUAUUUGAGUCCAAUAUAAAUUAAUUUAUACAAAAGUUUUUCAUAUAUGGUGAUUAGACAUAAUUAAAAUAUAGAUUAUUUUGUGUUUCAAAAAACGAUGUUUACCCCUAAUGAUUUAUCCCUUAGUUAUGCUCAAGUCAAAUUAAAGAAGGUAGGUAAAAAUGUAAUAAGGUGUAAUAAAAAAAUAAAUAAUAAAUAGAUUAUGAGGAUUAGGAGUUUAGAGAUUUAUUUAGAGCUGGGACAGCCAAGUGGGCUAACCCAACAUCGCUUUGGACCAUGAGGGUAGCUAGUUUAGGAACAAUGAGGCUCCUCAUCAACGCGUGGGCUGGGCUCCAAACCCAAGCCCAAAUCCGAACCAUGGGCCAGCCCCAAAACAGCCAUUUCCAUUACAAACUUGGGCUUGGGCUCAAAUCUGCACCCGCCACCACCAGAAAAACCCACAUUGCCGCCUUUGACACUUUGAGCCUGAACUUCGCCUCCUCGUUUAAGCUCGUCAGUGACGAACCGUACACCGCCUUCCCCAUCGAACCUGAAGGCUCUAACUGCCCUGACCGCCGCCCCCCGACGCCACCGGAUUUCUUCAAGUCGUCUCUGGUAGUCGGCGCUGCACGUGACCCUGUCGUCGGCUGCCGCUCCUUGUGUUGAUCCUGCCGCUUAGAUAUGUGAAGGCCAUUGCUGAGCUGGUGAGAUGGGAUUCGCGUACCCAUUGAUGACUUAAAGAGAGGAUCUACAGAGAGGAAGGUAGAGAAGGAGCGAAAUGGAGAGGUGCUUUAGAGAGAGAAAAGGUGGUUAUGGAGAGAGGAAGGGUGACGACGUGCAUGUACAGUCCUCAUGCUCGUGGAAGGGAUGAUGAAAAUGAGAGGGUGGUGUUUCUGAUGGGUGGUGAGAUGAGGGUAGCCAUGCUCAUAUAGUGCUGUGUUAUCCAUUCUUUCAAUGUUGUAAAAGUGCAAUCUUUUCAAAAGGGCCCCAACAGCACCACUAUCCCCACUAAGAAGCUGUUAAGCAGGAUAUGGAAAGAAUGGAUGAUUCCUUCCCAUGUCUAGAUCUUUUAACAUUCCAUGAAAAAAAACCAACUGCAUCUAUGGAAUUCCUGAUGGUAUAAACCAAUGGCUGAGAAGAUCCGGGUAACAAAGAUGGACCAGGAACUAUACCAAGCCUAAGAGAUCUAGGUGAAAGAGAAAAAAAAAACACUUACCGAAGGACUUUUCCUGCUCAUUGGGUCAUUGUAAAUACAGCUGCAUUGUUAACCUUGGGAACUAUUGUCGUCAAGUCAAUAGUGGCAUAACACAAAAAAUCCAUGGCAGACUUAUGAAACAUUGUACAAGUAGCUGCAGUGUAGCAUAGGCUUUGUGUAUCUAGCAUAGAAAAUACCUGGACCAAAACGAGAAGCUCCUCCUCUGCUCAGCUCGAAAUCACCUCCCUAUAGCUCCUCUUGCUUACAGCUUCUCCGUGGCCUUCAAACUCUUCUUCUCAGUUCUCUCUCACUCUCCCUCAUGCACUCUCCUUUUCUUUUUCUUUCUUUUCCUCUGUUUUUCUUCUGUUUGUGUCUUCCUCAGCAAGCCAGUCGUAUCCCGUCCAAUCUGCCCCCCAAGAGCCGCCCACUUCAGUCUCCUUUUUCUCUGCCCCAAAAACAACCCCUGACCAUCAUGUCGAGCGGCUCCUCAAAAAAGGUAGGAAAAAGAAAAGACAUAAAAUAAAUCCCAAGAAAAAAACUCUGCCUCCGGGGGGUCUACAAUCUCAUUGUUUUAUAUAUAUAUAUAUAUAUAUAUAUAUAUAUAUAUAUAUAUAUAUAUAUAUAUAUAUAUAUAUAUAUAUAUAUAUAUAUAUAUAUAUAUUUAAAAAUUUUUAAAAAUUUUUUUGUAAAAAAAAAAAAAUAUAUAAAAAAAUUUGUAAAAAAAAUAUGUGUAAAAAAAAAAAAAAAAAAAAAAACAUCAUUUGUAUGUUAUAAAAAAUAUUUUUUUUUUAUUUUAAACAAAAAAAAAAAAAAAAAAAAAAAAAACCCCACACUUUUUGUGUAUGAUUAUUUUUUUUUAUUUGAGAAUUUUAUUUAAAAAUUUUUUAUUUUUUUUUUUUGUUUUAAAAAAAAAAUAUUUUAUGUAUAAAAUAAAAAAAUCAGAUUGAAAAUUUUCAAGACCAAAUUUAGUAUCUUAGAUCUUUCCCAAAAAAUUUCUAUUUAUAAUGUUUUGAUUAUAUAUAUAUAUAUUGAUUUAUUUUAGGUAUAUUAUAUAAUAUAUUGAAAAAAUAUCUUAAAAAUAUUUUNNNNNNNNNNNNNNNNNNNNNNNNNNNNNNNNNNNNNNNNNNNNNNNNNNNNNNNNNNNNNNNNNNNNNNNNNNNNNNNNNNNNNNNNNNNNNNNNNNNNAUCAUGUCGAGCGGCUCCUCAAAAAAGGUAGGAAAAAGAAAAGACAUAAAAUAAAUCCCAAGAAAAAAACUCUGCCUCCGGGGGGUCUACAAUCUCAUUGUUUUAUAUAUAUAUAUAUAUAUAUAUAUAUAUAUAUAUAUAUAUAUAUAUAUAUAUAUAUAUAUAUAUAUAUAUAUAUAUAUAUAUAUAUAUUUUAAAAUUUUUAAUAAUUUUUUUGUUAACUAAAAAAAUUAUUUAGAAUAAUUUGUCAAAAAACUACGUGUAAAAAGAAAAAAAAAGAAGAGAACAUCAAUUGUAUGUUAUGAAAAGUAUUCAUUUUUUACGUUAAGCAGAAGAAAAAAAAAAUUAAAAAAAAACCCGACACUUUUGGUGUAUGAUUAUUUUUUUUUAUUUGAGAAUUUUAUUUCAAAAUUCUUUAUUUAAUUUUCUUGUUUUAAUUAAAAAAUAUUUCAUGUAUAAGAUAGAAAAAUCAGAUUGGAAACUUUCAAGACCAAAUUUAGUAUCUUAGAGCUUUCCCAAAAAAUUUCCAUUUAUAAUGUUUUGAUUUGAUAUUUAUGUAUUGAUUUAUUUUAGGUAUAUUAUAUAAUAUAUUGGAAAAAUAUCUUAAAAAUAAUUUAGAUUCCUUAAUCCAAUUAAACAGAAGAAUACAUAGUAUCUCCAAAAUUAAUGCCUCUAAUAUAUUUACAAAAUUACUCCACCAAAAUUUUUUGUCUCAAAUUAUUAUAAAAAAAUUGUUUUUUUUUAUUCAUUGUAAAGCAAGAAAUAAUUAUUAAUUGAAAUUAAGAGUUCAGUUUUGAAUAGAGGGUUUUCUUAGGGUACAAUUAUUAAAUAGGUUAAAUGAGUUAAAUGAUGUAUUAUCUGUUUAAUAAUUAUGUAAUAUUUUGGUUUAUGUUUUUAAUACGAUUAUUAUUUAUAUUGGAUUUAGAUUGAGCUAUGUAGUAUAAUACCUAGGUUUUGACAUGAUAUUAACACGACCCAUAUUUAAUUAAUUUCUUAUAUUUUCCUACAUAUUUAACAAACAUGUAGUAAUACUAACCAUGCAAAAUUGCAAUUGGGUUGUAAGUAACAAAUUUUAUUAUCCUUCCAAAUGUACAUUCACCUUAGUUACCAUUUUUACACACGAUAUUAUUGAUCAAGUCACAAAUCGAAUAAAUACGAAGCGCCAUGUACAUAAAUAAAUUUAAUUUAAAAAACAUAAAAAUAGGUUAUGAACAUUUUAAGUUCCCAUCGUAUUUUUAUUUCAUAAAACAUGAUAGAUUUGUUUGGAAAGUAUUUUUGAAAAUAAUUUUUUAUCAAGUUGUAAUAAUUUUUUUUUUUUAAAUAAAUGAAAGUACAUUGAAGACAAUAUUAGUAUUUGAUAUUAGAGCCACAUUCAUUUUAAAAGAAAAAUUAGUAUCCGUAAUGCUAACUCAAAAUAUAUCAUUGGAAAAUCUAAAAAUGCCCAUACCAUUCAAAUAAUAAUAAUUAACCAAAAAUAAAAAAAUAAAAAAUUGAAGGCAAAUUGGUGCUUUACCUUUACUUCAUUUCUCCAACUCCAGGCUUCAUCGUCUGUGUCAGCAGAUUUGCCUCAACUUAAUGGCAAUCCUGAAUAAGAAAUAUUUAUAAAGAGAUUACUUUAAGUCGAUCUCUGUACAAUUGAAGAAUGAAAUUCUUAAAAUUUUAGACUCAAAUACCCGAAUGGAACUGAGGAUCCCUGGGUGCCCAGAAAAAUGGAGGUUCUAUGGAAGCCUCAUGAGGAGAUGACUUCGCCAUCCAUAACUACGUAGGGGAUAUGAGCAAUCUUGGGCCAUUCUUUCCCUUUAUCCCUUUGGCACCGUUUUAUCAGCAGAGGACAAUCACGAAUCAGGAGAAUAGAGAGGGAGGAGGGCAGCCCCUGUGUCGGAAAGGACUUUAACUUAAAACACUUAUAAAGCCGGAGUGUUUGAAGAGAAGUGAGGUUUUGAAGCCUCAGAUUGUCCAGGGAUUUCAGAUCUGGAAAAUUAAGAAUCUGGAGAGAGAUGAGAGUGGAGGGCAGCAGCAGCCACUCUUCGAAAAAUGACUCCGACCCUUCUUCUGUAUCUCCAGAGAUACUCAAUUUUCUAAGGGAGGGAAGUGUUUGUAUGCCCCAUUCCUUCUGAGAUUCCAUAAGCUUGUAGCAGUUCCAUAUCUCAAGUGAAGAUAGAUUAGUCGGCAAACCCCCUUCCGGAAAUGAAACAAUUUCUGGACAAUCAUAUAUCUCCAAAUCUUCAAGCGAGGUAAGGAGGGUGUGCAUCCGUUGGGGCAGUGACUUAAGCUUGUUGCAAUAUCCUAUCCGAAGUUGUCUCAGGUUGGAAGCUGGCAAUCCUCCUUGUGGAAAAGACACCAGAUUCGGGCAAUCCUGGAUGUGUAUGCUUGGGAGAGAUGUGAGAUCCAUGUUGUGAAGUCCAUCUGGAAUGUCAAGGGACUCCAGAUUUGUACAACCCCAGAUAUAAAGUGUCUCAAGCUUUGUGAAGAAGGCUAAUGGAAAGUACGUGAGAGAAUCACAACUUCCAUCAAUAUGUAAACUGGUAAGCCAAGGGUAAUAACUGUGCGUGGUCUCCUCAGGAAGGGGUAACUCUACUUUCCCACACUGCUUGAUUUCAAGUGAUUUCAAUGAAGAGAUGCUGGGGAAGGACGUAAGAGAAUCACAUUCUUCUGUAGACAACUUCUGGAGACGGGUAUUAUUUUGAAUCAUUCCCUCUGGUAGGGUCUCUAGAAUGCCGCAUUUUUUUAUUUCAAGGAUUUCAAGCAUGGAGGGCAGCCCCAUCUCUGGAAGAGAGGAAAGAUUCUGACAUUCCUUGAUAACCAACUUCCGAAGAGACGUGAGCUUAUGCAAAAUCGGUGGCAAUUCCACUUGUAUGGAGCAAAUAUUACUCACUUCCAACUCAGUUAGUGAAGGCAUAUGGACAGCACUUCUCAAUACUACCUUAUCACAUUCUUUUAAAUUCAGAUGCUGAAUGGACGGAGCCUUUGGAAGCUGACACACCAGUUGCCCACAUUCUAAAAUUACCAGAUUUGUUAGAAGAGGAAGGUGCUUGGGCAAAUCCCCUUUCAGCUUUGCACAACACUCAAUGUGGAGCUCAUUGAGACAAGGGAACUCCCCCCCUUCGACUCCAAAACAAUCCCAUUCCUCCCACUCUGACAUCUCCUUGAACACCAGAGUCUGCAGGCUUCCAAAUGGCUUAAAUGAAGAAGGCCCAUUCCCAUAAAACUCCUGCCCCACCUUUCGCAGAACAUCAUUCUUCACAAUGGACAGGUUCUGGAGAGACCGUAGCUGUCCAAGCGGUGGCAAGGAUGCACAAUUUUUACAGUUAGAGAGUUGUAGACUCACCAUGUUGAUGAAUGAAGGGUCCCCUAACCAGCUUGGAAAUUUCGCACCAUAGUAGCAUCCAAUGGAGAGUUCUUUCAGGUUGUCAUGAGGCUGCAGCUUUUCCAGCACACUUGCUGCAUCUUGUGAAUCACCGGCAAUUGCAUUAUCAUCUUCCCAAUUCAAUUCUAACUUGUCAAGGCACUCCUUACGCUUCAUAUUACUCUCCAAGGCAUCUCUAGCAUCCACCACAUUUUGCAACUUGAAAAUGGCAAGUGUACCACUAAGGUGUGAAAGGUCCCUCAAUUCCCCAACUCUUGAUCCUGUAUGCUUACUGACAACAAAAGUAGUCAACGUUCGAAGAUUUUUCAUUCUACUCAUUUCCAUUGGCAUCCUUUCUAGCUUAGUCCCAUCGAUUUUGAGAUGACGUAAGUUGAUUAGUCUUCCCAUUUUUGUCGGCAAUUCAACAAGAUAUUCACACCAUGAUAACAUCAAAGUUUGCAAGUUGAAAAGAGUUGUUAUUGAUUUAGGUAAUGUUCUAACUAAAUUAUGAGAGAGGUCCAAAUAGCGUAGGUGUUUCAAAUUUCCAAUCGAGUGAGGCAAGUCUUUGAUGCCAUAGUAAGUCAAAGACAAAACCCGCAAACACAUCAAUGUUGACAACAAACAAUGUGAGACCUCCUUGCUUAAAUAGAAAUUAGGAAUACCAUGAGUACCAAGAGACUGUGGUAGGAAGGUCUGUAGAUUAUGGUCGUCAAGAAAUGAUUUAAAUUUCUUGGAGGCUAUGCCUUGUUGCCAACUAUAUGAAAAAUGUCGAAUCUCCUUAGAAAUUUUAUUUUGCUUUUCAUCCUCCAACCUACAACAAAAUCUUCCUGAUAUAAAUUGUGCUAAAUCAUGGAUCAGAUCAUGCAUCACAAAUACAGAUUCAUUGUAAUAAUAUCGUUGAAAGAACGACCUUGACAAUAGAUUAUUGAAACAUAUGUUACCAAACUCUUCUACAGUUCCCUCUCUUUUAGAGCUAUCUAAGAAGCCUUCCGCCAUCCAUAACAAUACUAACUUCUCUUUUUCAAACACAUAAUCCUUAGGGAAUAUGGAACAAUACGUAAAACAUCGCUUCAAUUUUGGAGGGAGAUAAUAGUAACUCAAGUUCAAAGCAGGAAGAAUAUUACUUUGGUCAUUUGGUAAAUCCCAUAUUUCGUUGUUUAAUACGUCAUUCCAAGCAGUGCUAUCUUGUUUAGAGCGUAAUAAACCUGCAAGAGUCUUCGCUGCCAAAGGUAAGCCUUUGCAUUUUCUUGCUAUCUUCCUACCAAUUGAUUCCAAGUUUUGGCAUACAUCCGAAUUUAGAUUUUUGAAGGCUUGUUGUGCAAACAAUAACCAACAUUGUUCAUCAGUUAGUUGAUGAAGCUGAUAAGAAGAAGCCGUUGUUCGCAUAAUUGAUGCCACAUUUUCAUUGCGAGUUGUUACUAAGACCACGCUGCCUCGUGCUCCGACAUUAAAAGGAGCUUGUAGGACAUCCCAAUGGUUGGGAUUCUCGUUCCAUACGUCAUCUAGAACAAGGAAAAAUCUUUUCUCCUUCAUUUCAUUUUUCAAUUUUUCUUGAAGCAAUUCCAAGGUUUUAAAUUCACAUGGACGUUUCGUGAUGGACUCAAGAAUUGCUUUUGUUAUUCCUACAACAUCAAAAUCAUCAGAAACACAAACCCAAACUCUCAUAUCAAAACGGUUCUCCACCCUGCCAUCAUUGUAGAUGAUCUGAGCGAGGGUUGUCUUUCCAAUCCCGCCCAUGCCUACCAUGGAAAUGACAGAUACUCUAUCGCAUUUGGUUGCUUCAUCUGACAGCAUCAAUUCAAUGAUCUUCUCCUUAUCAGCAUCCCUACCAUGAAUACGAGACUCAUCUACUAAAGAAGUAGUCUGUAACCUUUCUUCAAUUCCAAACGACACCCCUCGAACACCCUCCUUUAGAUGAAGGUCAACUCUCCGUUUGGCAAUUGCAUCUAACUCCCUUGUGAUUUUGUUUAUUUUUUCACCCAUCUUUUUGUUAAAGGACAUAACUCUAGGAUCCAAAGCACCACA
Molecule: long non-coding RNA, 40558 nt
Filed under: Vitis vinifera (wine grape)
Lineage: Eukaryota; Viridiplantae; Streptophyta; Magnoliopsida; Vitales; Vitaceae
Description: long non-coding RNA (VVIN_LNC006975)
Source: RNAcentral